CGGGAAUCUUGGGCAAUGGGCGAAAGCCUGACCCAGCGACGCCGCGUGAGGGAUGAAGGCCUUCGGGUCGUAAACCUCUGUCGGGAGGGAAGAAUGGCGGUAGGGCGAAUAGUCCUGCCGUUUGACGGUACCUCCAAAGGAAGCGCCGGCUAACUCCGUGCCAGCAGCCGCGGUAAUACGGAGGGCGCAAGCGUUGUUCGGAAUCACUGGGCGUAAAGCGCGUGUAGGCGGCCGGGCAAGUCGGAUGUGAAAUCCCGAGGCUCAACCUCGGAACUGCAUUCGAAACUGCUCGGCUCGAGUCCCGGAGAGGAUGGCGGAAUUCCCGGUGUAGGGGUGAAAUCCGUAGAUAUCGGGAGGAACACCAGUGGCGAAGGCGGCCAUCUGGACGGUGACUGACGCUGAGACGCGAAAGCGUGGGGAGCAAAC
This 426-nucleotide ribosomal RNA is filed under the name uncultured bacterium. Its description in RNAcentral is "bacterial SSU rRNA". It matches the Rfam family "Bacterial small subunit ribosomal RNA", at positions 356 to 773 of the family's 1533-position model. The record is from RNAcentral.